GACAGAGGGUGCAAACGUUGAUCGGAAUUACUGGGCGUAAAGCGCGUGUAGGCGGCCCGGAAAGUCGGAUGUGAAAGCCCUGGGCUUAACCUAGGAAGUGCAUUCGAAACUCUCGGGCUUGAGUUCUGGAGAGGAAGGCGGAAUUCUCGGUGUAGAGGUGAAAUUCGUAGAUAUCGAGAGGAACACCGGUGGCGAAGGCGGCCUUCUGGACAGUGACUGACGCUGAGACGCGAAAGCGUGGGGAGCAAACAGG
RNAcentral lists this ribosomal RNA (253 nucleotides) under uncultured bacterium. RNAcentral describes it as "partial 16S ribosomal RNA". It matches the Rfam family "Bacterial small subunit ribosomal RNA", at positions 524 to 776 of the family's 1533-position model. The record is from RNAcentral.